UACAGAGGCCCCAAGCGUUAGUCGGAAUCACUGGGCUUAAAGGGUGCGUAGGCGGAUCGGUAAGUGUCUUGUGAAAGCCCACGGCUCAACCGUGGAAUUGCAGGGCAUACUGCCGAUCUUGAAGAAGGUAGAGGCCGGUGGAACGAUAGGUGGAGCGGUGGAAUGCGUAGAGAUCUAUCGGAACGCCAAUGGUGAAGACAGCCGGCUGGGCCUUUCUUGACGCUGAGGCACGAAAGCGUGGGGAGCAAACAGG
RNAcentral lists this ribosomal RNA (253 nucleotides) under uncultured bacterium. Its description in RNAcentral is "partial 16S ribosomal RNA". It matches the Rfam family "Bacterial small subunit ribosomal RNA", at positions 524 to 776 of the family's 1533-position model. The record is from RNAcentral.